Molecule: ribosomal RNA, 207 nt
Filed under: uncultured bacterium
Lineage: Bacteria
Description: partial 16S ribosomal RNA
Rfam family: Bacterial small subunit ribosomal RNA
Source: RNAcentral
CGGGCAGGUGGCCUUUUAAGUCCUUUGUGAAAUCCCGGGGCUCAACUCCGGAUGUGCAUAGGAUACUGGAAGGCUCGAGACAGGUAGAGGCGAGCGGAAUUCCUGGUGUAGCGGUGGAAUGCGUAGAUAUCAGGAAGAACACCGGUGGCGAAGGCGGCUCGCUGGGCCUGUUCUGACACUCAUCCGCGAAAGCGUGGGGAGCAAACA